UAAGGAAUAUUGCACAAUGGGCGAAAGCCUGAUGCAGCAACGCCGCGUGCGCGAAGAAGGCCUUCGGGUCGUAAAGCGCUUUUCUGGUUGAAGAGGAAGGACAGUAAACCAGGAAUAAGUGUCGGCUAACUACGUGCCAGCAGCCGCGGUAAAGCGUAGGACACGAGCGUUAUCCGGAUUUACUGGGCGUAAAGGGCAAGCAGGCGGACUGUUAAGUCAGACGUGAAAGCUCCGGGCUUAACCGGGAGAGUGCGUUUGAGACUGGCAGACUAGAGGGCAGCAGAGGAGCAUGGAAUUCCGGGUGGAGUGGUGAAAUGCGUAGAUAUCCGGAGGAACACCAGAGGCGAAGGCGGUGCUCUGGGCUGAACCUGACGCUGAGAUGCGAAAGCGUGGGGAGCGAACGGGAUUAGAAACCCCGGUAGUCCACGCAGUAAACGAUGUCCACUAGGUGUUGGGGGAUUAACCUUCAGCGCCGCAGCAAACGCGAUAAGUGGACCGCCUGGGGAGUACGGUCGCAAGGCUA
Molecule: ribosomal RNA, 523 nt
Filed under: uncultured bacterium
Lineage: Bacteria
Description: bacterial SSU rRNA
Rfam family: Bacterial small subunit ribosomal RNA
Source: RNAcentral